AACGAACGCUGGCGGCAUGCCUAACACAUGCAAGUCGAACGAAGCCUUCGGGCUUAGUGGCGCACGGGUGAGUAACGCGUGGGAAUGUGCCUUUGGGUUCGGAAUAACGGGUAGAAAUUAUUGCUAAUACCGGAUGAUGACGGAAGGCCAAAGUUUUAUCGCCCUAGGAUGAGCCCGCGUCGGAUUAGCUAGUUGGUGAGGUAAAAGCACACCAAGGCGACGAUCCUUAGCUGGUCUGAGGGGAUGAUCAGCCACACUGGGACUGAGACACGGCCCAGACUCCCACGGGAGGCAGCAGUGGGGAAUAUUGGACAAUGGGCGAAAGCCUGAUCCAGCCAUGCCGCGUGAGUGAAGAAGGCCUUAGGAUUGUAAAGCUCUUUUGCCCGGGAUGAUAAUGACGGUACCUGGAGAAUAAGCUCCGGCAAACUCCGUGCCAGCAGCCGCCGUAA
RNAcentral lists this ribosomal RNA (449 nucleotides) under uncultured bacterium. RNAcentral's name for it is "partial 16S ribosomal RNA". It matches the Rfam family "Bacterial small subunit ribosomal RNA", at positions 29 to 523 of the family's 1533-position model. The record is from RNAcentral.